UCCCGAGUGGCUUAGAUGGUAAAGCGUCUGCUUACAACACGGGAGACCCUGGUUCAAUCCCUGGGUUGGGAA
Molecule: transfer RNA, 72 nt
Filed under: Bos taurus (domestic cattle)
Lineage: Eukaryota; Metazoa; Chordata; Mammalia; Artiodactyla; Bovidae
Also listed under: 1 other name
Rfam family: tRNA
About the family: Transfer RNA (tRNA) molecules are approximately 80 nucleotides in length.
Source: Rfam by way of RNAcentral